Molecule: ribosomal RNA, 380 nt
Filed under: uncultured eukaryote
Lineage: Eukaryota
Description: SSU rRNA
Rfam family: Eukaryotic small subunit ribosomal RNA
Source: RNAcentral
AGCUCCAAUAGCGUAUAUUAAAGUUGUUGCAGUUAAAAAGCUCGUAGUUGAACUUCAGGCCCGACCGGGCGGUCCGCCUAACGGUGUGUACUGUCUGGUGGGGUCUUACCUCUUGGUGAACCUGCAUGCUCUUUACUGGGUGUGUAGGGGAACCAGGACAUUUACCUUGAGAAAAUUAGAGUGUUCAAAGCAGGCUUAUGCCCGAAUACAUUAGCAUGGAAUAAUAGAAUAGGACGUGCGGUCUUAUUUUGUUGGUUUCUAAGAUCGCCGUAAUGAUGAAUAGGGACAGUUGGGGGCAUUUGUAUUGCGUCGCUAGAGGUGAAAUUCUUGGAUUGACGCAAGACAAACUAUUGCGAAAGCAUUUGCCAAGGAUGUUUUCA